CGACCACUGCGACACCGAGGCGGCCGGGCACCUUCCACAUGCCCGGCCCGGCGCUCCGGCGCAUGCGCGGGUCACCUCGUGGUGGUCGGC
This 90-nucleotide transfer RNA is filed under the name Streptomyces xantholiticus. RNAcentral's name for it is "tRNA-Gly". The record is from RNAcentral. Lineage: Bacteria; Bacillati; Actinomycetota; Actinomycetes; Kitasatosporales; Streptomycetaceae.